Molecule: ribosomal RNA, 269 nt
Filed under: uncultured prokaryote
Description: partial 16S ribosomal RNA
Rfam family: Bacterial small subunit ribosomal RNA
Source: RNAcentral
UACAGAGGGUGCGAGCGUUAAUCGGAAUGAUUGGGCGUAAAGCGCGCGUAGGCGGUAAGAAAAGUUGGAUGUGAAAUCUUCGGGCUUAACCUGGAAACUGCAUCCAAAACUGACUUACUAGAAUUCAGCAGAGGAAAGUAGAAUUUCCAGUGUAGCGGUGAAAUGCGUAGAUAUUGGAAGGAAUACCAGAGGCGAAGGCGGCUUUCUGGGCUGAAAUUGACGCUAAGGCGCGAAAGCGUGGGGAGCAAACAGGAUUAGAUACCCCCGUA